ACUCGAGUGGCGAACGGGUGAGUAACACGUGGGUGAUCUGCCCUGCACUUCGGGAUAAGCUUGGGAAACUGGGUCUAAUACCGGAUAGGAACCAUCUUUAGUGUGGUGGUUGGAAAGUUUUUUCGGUGUAGGAUGAGCUCGCGGCCUAUCAGCUUGUUGGUGGGGUAAUGGCCUACCAAGGCGGCGACGGGUAGCCGGCCUGAGAGGGUGUACGGCCACAUUGGGACUGAGAUACGGCCCAGACUCCUACGGGAGGCAGCAGUGGGGAAUAUUGCACAAUGGGCGCAAGCCUGAUGCAGCGACGCCGCGUGGGGGAUGAAGGCCUUCGGGUUGUAAACUCCUUUCGCUAGGGACGAAGCUUUUUGGUGACGGUACCUAGAUAAGAAGCACCGGCUAACUACGUGCCAGCAGCCGCGGUAAUACGUAGGGUGCGAGCGUUGUCCGGAAUUACUGGGCGUAAAGGGCUCGUAGGUGGUUUGUCGCGUCGUCUGUGAAAUUCUGGGGCUUAACUCCGGGCGUGCAGGCGAUACGGGCAUAACUUGAGUGCUGUAGGGGUAACUGGAAUUCCUGGUGUAGCGGUGAAAUGCGCAGAUAUCAGGAGGAACACCGAUGGCGAAGGCAGGUUACUGGGCAGUUA
Molecule: ribosomal RNA, 637 nt
Filed under: uncultured Actinomycetales bacterium
Lineage: Bacteria; Bacillati; Actinomycetota; Actinomycetes; Actinomycetales
Description: bacterial SSU rRNA
Rfam family: Bacterial small subunit ribosomal RNA
Source: RNAcentral